RNAcentral lists this ribosomal RNA (206 nucleotides) under Clostridioides difficile. Its description in RNAcentral is "partial 16S ribosomal RNA". It matches the Rfam family "Bacterial small subunit ribosomal RNA", at positions 1 to 213 of the family's 1533-position model. Lineage: Bacteria; Bacillati; Bacillota; Clostridia; Peptostreptococcales; Peptostreptococcaceae. The record is from RNAcentral.
UUAUUUGAGAGUUUGAUCCUGGCUCAGGAUGAACGCUGGCGGCGUGCCUAACACAUGCAAGUUGAGCGAUUUACUUCGGUAAAGAGCGGCGGACGGGUGAGUAACGCGUGGGUAACCUACCCUGUACACACGGAUAACAUACCGAAAGGUAUGCUAAUACGGGAUAAUAUAUUUGAGAGGCAUCUCUUGAAUAUCAAAGGUGAGCC